RNAcentral lists this unclassified non-coding RNA (328 nucleotides) under soil metagenome. RNAcentral's name for it is "partial contains 5.8S ribosomal RNA, internal transcribed spacer 2, and large subunit ribosomal RNA". The stretch from base 1 to 120 matches the Rfam family "5.8S ribosomal RNA", at positions 35 to 154 of the family's 154-position model. The record is from RNAcentral.
GAUGAAGAACGUAGCGAAAUGCGAUAAGUAAUGUGAAUUGCAGAAUUCAGUGAAUCAUCGAAUCUUUGAACGCACAUUGCGCCCCUUGGUAUUCCGAGGGGCAUGUCUGUUCGAGCGUCAUUAUAACCCCUCAAGCUCAGCUUGGUGUUGGGGCCUGCCGCACGGGCAGCCCUUAAAAUCAGUGGCGGUGCCAUCUGGCUCUAAGCGUAGUAAUUCUUCUCGCUAUAGAGUCCCGGUGGAUGCUUGCCAUUAACCCCCAAUUUUCUAUGGUUGACCUCGGAUCAGGUAGGGAUACCCGCUGAACUUAAGCAUAUCAAUAAGCGGAGGA